Non-coding RNA from Ceratotherium simum simum (southern white rhinoceros), 149 nucleotides. The record is from RefSeq and is a predicted model, not a curated record. Lineage: Eukaryota; Metazoa; Chordata; Mammalia; Perissodactyla; Rhinocerotidae.
AAAAAUUGGAUCGGCUCUGGCAAUUUCUUCAAAUAAGACAACAAUGAAGUUUGCCGCAUCGAUUGAUUCUUCCUUUCGUGAACGAUUUCUCUGUAGCGUGCAAUGCUGUUUGAUAGCAUUUUAUCCACAGUAGAACUUCUUUUAAAAUU